UACGGAGGGUGCAAGCGUUAUCCGGAAUCACUGGGUUUAAAGGGUGCGUAGGCGGUUCGAUAAGUCAGAGGUGAAAGCUAGCAGCUUAACUGUUAAAUUGCCUUUGAUACUGUUGGACUUGAAUCAAGUUGAGGUAGGCGGAAUGUGACAUGUAGCGGUGAAAUGCAUAGAUAUGUCAUAGAACACCAAUUGCGUAGGCAGCUUGCUGGGCUUGAAUUGACGCUGAGGCACGAAAGCGUGGGGAUCAAACAGG
RNAcentral lists this ribosomal RNA (253 nucleotides) under uncultured bacterium. Its description in RNAcentral is "partial 16S ribosomal RNA". It matches the Rfam family "Bacterial small subunit ribosomal RNA", at positions 524 to 776 of the family's 1533-position model. The record is from RNAcentral.